UCCUCAGUAGCUCAAUUGGCAGAGCAUCCGGCUGUUAACCGGAGGGUUGCUGGUUCGAGUCCAGCCUGAGGAG
Molecule: transfer RNA, 73 nt
Filed under: Acidobacteriota bacterium
Lineage: Bacteria; Pseudomonadati; Acidobacteriota
Description: Acidobacteria bacterium (sponge metagenome) tRNA-Asn
Rfam family: tRNA
About the family: Transfer RNA (tRNA) molecules are approximately 80 nucleotides in length.
Source: RNAcentral